This 638-nucleotide long non-coding RNA is filed under the name Musa acuminata (dwarf banana). RNAcentral's name for it is "long non-coding RNA (MACU_LNC005135)". Lineage: Eukaryota; Viridiplantae; Streptophyta; Magnoliopsida; Zingiberales; Musaceae. The record is from RNAcentral.
GGCCCUCGCACGUGUGAAUCGCGGCUUUGGGCGCGUCACAUUCGGUUGCGAGCAGUGGGACCGAUCGCCGAGACGGAGAGCUGAUUCUGGACCCAUCGUCCAACCGGACCACCUUCCACUCACCGCGUCAUCGAUCCGAUUAAUAGGUCAAUCGAUUUGACCCAUAUAUUUAAUUAUAUAUAUAUAUAUGAUUUAUUCCCGCCCCUUUGCCUUUUUAUUUUCUCCUCUUUGAUUAAACCGAUAAAUUGAUAGAUAAAUGAUAAGUUUAAUAAAAUAUUUUAGAAUAAAUUUCUGAAAAAAAUCUUAAGCUUUGAGAAAUCUGUAAUGAGUGUUUUUAUUUUUAAAAAAUUUUCACAGAACGUUAUUUUUUUUCUAAAAAAUGAUUUUAUUAUCUAUCGUAGUCCAAUCGGCUGUGGCUCUGUCAGUGAUUUUUAUUUUAUUUUAUUAUAAUUAACAAUUUAUUUUGUUUGUUUGGUGUGACGGGAGAAGGGAGCGUACGUGGAGAUUUUGCUGCUUCUCUCUCCAUGGCUUACGUGGACUAUAGAGUCACUCAUGGGUGGUGGUCCCAGAAACAGCCAGUGACAGCUUGGGGGCCACGCGCAGGCGAGUAUGAGAACGGGUACGACAAGCCAAGCAGG